RNAcentral lists this ribosomal RNA (492 nucleotides) under uncultured bacterium. Its description in RNAcentral is "partial 16S ribosomal RNA". It matches the Rfam family "Bacterial small subunit ribosomal RNA", at positions 29 to 507 of the family's 1533-position model. The record is from RNAcentral.
AGUGAACGCUGGCGGUAGGCCUAACACAUGCAAGUCGAACGGCAGCACAGUAAGAGCUUGCUCUUACGGGUGGCGAGUGGCGGACGGGUGAGGAAUACAUCGGAAUCUACUUUUUCGUGGGGGAUAACGUAGGGAAACUUACGCUAAUACCGCAUACGACCUACGGGUGAAAGCAGGGGAUCUUCGGACCUUGCGCGAUUGAAUGAGCCGAUGUCGGAUUAGCUAGUUGGCGGGGUAAAGGCCCACCAAGGCGACGAUCCGUAGCUGGUCUGAGAGGAUGAUCAGCCACACUGGAACUGAGACACGGUCCAGACUCCUACGGGAGGCAGCAGUGGGGAAUAUUGGACAAUGGGCGCAAGCCUGAUCCAGCCAUACCGCGUGGGUGAAGAAGGCCUUCGGGUUGUAAAGCCCUCUUGUUGGGAAAGAAAAGCAGCAGGUUAAUACCCCGCUAUUCUGACGGUACCCAAAGAAUAAGCACCGGCUAACUUCGUG